CCUACGGGGGGCUGCAGUCGAGAAUCUUCGGCAAUGGGCGCAAGCCUGACCGAGCGACGCCGCGUGCGGGAUGAAGGCCCUCGGGUUGUAAACCGCUGUCGUAGGGGAGGAAUGGUCAGGGGGUUCUCCCCCUGAUUUGACCUAUCCUAGGAGGAAGAGUGGGCUAAGUUCGUGCCAGCAGCCGCGGUAAGACGAACCACUCAAACGUUAUUCGGAAUCACUGGGCUUAAAGGGUGCGUAGGCGGCGCGGAGGGUGGGAUGUGAAAUCCCCCGGCUUAACCGGGGAAUGGCGUCCCAAACCGCCGUGCUCGAGGAAGAUAGAGGUGAGCGGAACUGAUGGUGGAGCGGUGAAAUGCGUUGAUAUCAUCAGGAACACCCGUGGCGAAAGCGGCUCACUGGGUCUUCCCUGACGCUGAGGCACGAAAGCUAGGGGAGCGAAC
RNAcentral lists this ribosomal RNA (440 nucleotides) under uncultured bacterium. RNAcentral describes it as "bacterial SSU rRNA". It matches the Rfam family "Bacterial small subunit ribosomal RNA", at positions 338 to 773 of the family's 1533-position model. The record is from RNAcentral.